RNAcentral lists this ribosomal RNA (486 nucleotides) under uncultured bacterium. RNAcentral's name for it is "bacterial SSU rRNA". It matches the Rfam family "Bacterial small subunit ribosomal RNA", at positions 65 to 596 of the family's 1533-position model. The record is from RNAcentral.
AACGAGACCUUCCGGGUCUAGUGGCGCACGGGUGCGUAACGCGUGGGAACCUGCCCUUAGGUUCGGAAUAACUUCCCGAAAGAGAUGCUAAUACCGGAUAAUGUCUUCGGACCAAAGAUUUAUCGCCUUUGGAUGGGCCCGCGUAGGAUUAGCUUGUUGGUGGGGUAAUGGCCUACCAAGGCGACGAUCCUUAGCUGGUCUGAGAGGAUGAUCAGCCACACUGGGACUGAGACACGGCCCAGACCCCUACGGGAGGCAGCAGUGGGGAAUAUUGGACAAUGGGCGAAAGCCUGAUCCAGCAAUGCCGCGUGAGUGACGAAGGCCUUAGGGUUGUAAAGCUCUUUUACCAGGGAUGAUAAUGACAGUACCUGGAGAAUAAGCUCCGGCUAACUCCGUGCCAGCAGCCGCGGUAAUACGGAGAGAGCUAGCGUUGUUCGGAAUUACUGGGCGUAAAGCGCACGUAGGCGGCGAUUCAAGUCAGAGGUG